Molecule: long non-coding RNA, 238 nt
Filed under: Trifolium pratense (red clover)
Lineage: Eukaryota; Viridiplantae; Streptophyta; Magnoliopsida; Fabales; Fabaceae
Description: long non-coding RNA (TPRA_LNC010592)
Source: RNAcentral
GUACUGUGCGUCACUGUUCAUUCAAAAAAAAAACUUGGAUUUUUUUCUAUUUUGUUCUCCUUAUUAAGACAAUCACAUGACAUCGGUCAAUAUGUCAAAAAAAUGAUUUGUUCCACUCAACCAAGAUGAAAUAAAGAGGUUGAAAUCUUUUCUUAGUGAAUUGGAGACACCAACAACGGUUACAACUUCUCUGGCAUAUUCAGGUAUGUUUCCGUUUCCACUUUCUCUUGGUAAGUCU